AGAGAAGAAAUUGGCAGAAUCACUGAAGUAACCUACAGAGAAAAAUACACAUGCUAGGGAAAGAAUUUGGCGUCAGAUUAGUGUAAAGAUCUAUAGGACCAAGCUGUUAAGAGACAGCCAGGAGGCUGUUUCUCUAUCACAAACCAGGCAAUGCUGCAUCCACAAGGCAUCACCACUCUUCAGAGCUUUGUCCAGGUGAAAGCAAGGUGAACCUGCCCAGACAUCACCUAUCCAGCACAAGCUCUUCCCCGGUGGAGGUCACAAGGCGUGUCCCUCUUAACAGCACGGGCCCCAGGAGAGAUGGCUGCACCCGUGGCAGACCUAAAGGAGGUCAGGAAAACAAGAAGUGGAGAGGGCAGAGCCUGAGGAAGGGGAAAGGGAUGCUGGAACCUGCUCCUGACACCCCUUUCCCACUUCUGUUCCUCCACCUCCUGCUCUUGGAAUCACCGUGGCUGCACACCCCCACCCCAUCUGCAAAACCCCCCACACAGUGGUGGGAUAAUGAGGAGAAGUCCUCAGUUCUUCCACACUUUGGGAGCUCUUGCUGGACUGCCCUGGGCUCUUUCCUCCCUGGAAAGCCCUCUUCAUGUUGUCUAGCUGACUACGACUUCUCACUCCAUCUUGGCCUCUUCCAGGAAGGAGAGCACCCUGGAUCCCUGGGCUAUGCUGGUCGUCCGGUUCUGAACGCCCACAGGACCCGCUGCACCUUUCAGAGAAGAGUCACAAGUUUUUGCAGUUGCAUCCUUGGUGUGUAGAAAAGUGCUUGACUUACAUUUGACUGAUUUUAGAUGAAUAAAGGAAAGAAUUUUUACCUGUUUCUAGGCUGUUCUGUGCUAGAAUGUAAAUUCCCUAAGAAAACUGUCUGGCGCUCAAUUCAGCACCAGGCAUGCAGUGGGAGCUCAAUAAUAUUUAACCAACUGGCCCUAAAUGUCUGGCAUUAUACUAACAGAUUCAGGGCAGUAGGUCUGAUUAAAGGGAGCUGAGGUCAAGAAAUGGCUUCAGGGUUCAGAAGACACCCCAACUGUGACCACACUUGAAUGGAUUCCCAGGAUCUUCCUGGACAUGGGU
This is a non-coding RNA of Odocoileus virginianus texanus, 1068 nucleotides long. Lineage: Eukaryota; Metazoa; Chordata; Mammalia; Artiodactyla; Cervidae. The record is from RefSeq and is a predicted model, not a curated record.